AGGGAGCUUGCUNCCGGAAUGUAGCGGCGGACGGGUGAGUAACACGUGGGUAACCUGCCUGUAAGACUGGGAUAACUCCGGGAAACCGGAGCUAAUACCGGAUAGUUCCUUGAACCGCAUGGUUCAAGGAUGAAAGACGGUUUCGGCUGUCACUUACAGAUGGACCCGCGGCGCAUAGCUAGUUGGUGAGGUAACGGCUCACCAAGGCGACGAUGCGUAGCCGACCUGAGAGGGUGAUCGGCCACACUGGGACUGAGACACGGCCCAGACUCUACGGGAGGCAGCAGUAGGGAAUCUUCCGCAAUGGACGAAAGUCUGACGGAGCAACGCCGCGUGAGUGAUGAAGGUUUCGGAUCGUAAAGCUCUGUUGUUAGGGAAGAACAAGUGCAAGAGUAACUGCUUGCACCUUGACGGUACCUAACCAGAAAGCCACGGCUAACUACGUGCCAGCAGCCGCGGUAAUACGUAGGUGGCAAGCGUUGUCCGGAAUUAUUGGGCGUAAAGGGCUCGCAGGCGGUUUCUUAAGUCUGAUGUGAAAGCCCCCGGCUCAACCGGGGAGGGUCAUUGGAAACUGGGAAACUUGAGUGCAGAAGAGGAGAGUGGAAUUCCACGUGUAGCGGUGAAAUGCGUAGAGAUGUGGAGGAACACCAGUGGCGAAGGCGACUCUCUGGUCUGUAACUGACGCUGAGGAGCGAAAGCGUGGGGAGCGAACAGGAUUAGAUACCCUGGUAGUCCACGCCGUAAACGAUGAGUGCUAAGUGUUAGGGGGUUUCCGCCCCUUAGUGCUGCAGCUAACGCAUUAAGCACUCCGCCUGGGGAGUACGGUCGCAAGACUGAAACUCAAAGGAAUUGACGGGGGCCCGCACAAGCGGUGGAGCAUGUGGUUUAAUUCGAAGCAACGCGAAGAACCUUACCAGGUCUUGACAUCCUCUGACAACCCUAGAGAUAGGGCUUUCCCUUCGGGGACAGAG
This 971-nucleotide ribosomal RNA is filed under the name Bacillus aerius. RNAcentral describes it as "bacterial SSU rRNA". It matches the Rfam family "Bacterial small subunit ribosomal RNA", at positions 73 to 1031 of the family's 1533-position model. Lineage: Bacteria; Bacillati; Bacillota; Bacilli; Caryophanales; Bacillaceae. The record is from RNAcentral.